UCGAGCGGAACGACNACAUUGACCCUUCGGGUGAUUUGUUGGGCGUCGAGCGGCGGACGGGUGAGUAAUGCCUGGGAAAUUGCCCUGAUGUGGGGGAUAACCAUUGNAAACGAUGGCUAAUACCGCAUAAUGUCUACGGACCANAGAGGGGGACCUUCGGGCCUCUCGCUUCAGGAUAUGCCCAGGUGGNAUUAGCUAGUUGGNGAGGUAAUGGCUCACCAAGGCGANNAUCCCUAGCUGGUCUGAGAGGAUGAUCAGCCACACUGGAACUGAGACACGGUCCAGACUCCUACGGGAGGCAGCNGUGGGGAAUAUUGCACAAUGGGCGCAAGCCUGAUGCAGCCAUGCCGCGUGUAUGANGAAGGCCUUCGGGUUGUAAAGUACUUUCAGUCGUGAGGAAGGCGUUGAAGUUAAUAGCUUCAUCGUUUGACGUUAGCGANAGUNNAANCACCGGNUAACUCCGUGCCAGCAGCCGCGGUANUACGNAGGNUGCGAGCGUUANNCGGANUUACUGGGCGUANAGNGCAUGCAGGNGNUUUGU
RNAcentral lists this ribosomal RNA (541 nucleotides) under Vibrio sp. KR06-43. Its description in RNAcentral is "partial 16S ribosomal RNA". It matches the Rfam family "Bacterial small subunit ribosomal RNA", at positions 62 to 583 of the family's 1533-position model. The record is from RNAcentral. Lineage: Bacteria; Pseudomonadati; Pseudomonadota; Gammaproteobacteria; Vibrionales; Vibrionaceae.